This 252-nucleotide ribosomal RNA is filed under the name uncultured bacterium. Its description in RNAcentral is "partial 16S ribosomal RNA". It matches the Rfam family "Bacterial small subunit ribosomal RNA", at positions 524 to 776 of the family's 1533-position model. The record is from RNAcentral.
UACCUAGGUGGCGAGCGUUGUCCGGAUUUAUUGGGCGUAAAGCGAGCGCAGGUGGUUUAUUAAGUCUGGUGUAAAAGGCAGUGGCUCAACCAUUGUAUGCAUUGGAAACUGGUAGACUUGAGAGCAGGAGAGGAGAGUGGAAUUCCAUGCGUAGCGGUGAAAUGCGUAGAUAUAUGGAGGAACACCGGUGGCGAAAGCGGCUCUCUGGCCUGUAACUGACACUGAGGCUCGAAAGCGUGGGGAGCAAACAGG